AUUGAACGCUGGCGGCAUGCUUUACACAUGCAAGUCGGACGAGUGGCGGACGGGUGAGUAACGCAUCGGAACGUGCCUGGUGGUGGGGGAUAACUGCUGGAAAGGGUAGCUAAUACCGCAUACUAUUGGAGGGGCCCAGGUGGGAUUAGCUGGUUGGCGGGGUAACGGCUCACCAAGGCGACGAUCAUUAGCGGGUCUGAGAGGAUGAUCAGCCACACUGGGACUGAGACACGGCCCAGACUCCUACGGGAGGCAGCAGUGGGGAAUUUUGGACAAUGGGCGCAAGCCUGAUCCAGCCAUGCCGCGUGUCUGAAGAAGGCCUUCGGGUUGUAAAGGACUUUUGUCAGGGAAGCGGUACCUGAAGAAUAAGCACCGGCUAACUACGUGCCAGCAGCCGCGGUAAUAC
Molecule: ribosomal RNA, 406 nt
Filed under: uncultured bacterium
Lineage: Bacteria
Description: partial 16S ribosomal RNA
Rfam family: Bacterial small subunit ribosomal RNA
Source: RNAcentral